Long non-coding RNA from Myotis daubentonii (Daubenton's bat), 1408 nucleotides. RefSeq lists it as uncharacterized. The record is from RefSeq and is a predicted model, not a curated record. Lineage: Eukaryota; Metazoa; Chordata; Mammalia; Chiroptera; Vespertilionidae.
CCUCCCAGCGGCCCCCGCGUCCGGGCGCCGCAGCCGGGACGCCGGGCCUGUCCCUUCCGGAGCGCGGCCGCUAACGUCGGCGCUGGCCGCGGUGGGCGAGCCGGAAACGGAUUGGCGUUCUGGCCUCCGGGUCAGGCUCCCCGGCGGAGGAAGCGGGCGGCGCCGCGGGCGGAGCCUUUGUGGCGAGGUGAUCGCGGGAACAGCGACCCCUUCAGGACCGUCGCGGCGCUGCCGCGGGGCGCGCCGGGAACUUGGCUCGCUCCGCCCGUGGGAAGGGCCGCGUCGCUGGGAGGAGCGCGCCGCAGAGUCGCAGCAGCGCGGCGCUGUUGUGGUUAGUCCCAGAGAACCAAGAGCAGACGACUCCGGCCCCUCUUUUUAUUUGGAGGAAAAAUAUGGAUGUUGGAACAUAGAAUUGCAGUAGCUGUGUCAUUAGAACCAGCAGCUCCCUGUCAUCUUGUACCCGCGCCCGCAGGUGUCGGAAGUGGCAGAAGAGGGUUGAGUUAGUGUCCCGCCCAGCCGGUUUUCAUCCAUUCAGCAUUAUCGAAUGUCUACCGUGUACCAGAGCUGAAUCGGGUGCUGGAGAUACUGUGCUUCAAAACACUGCCCUUGCCUUCAAGAUGCUCUCGGUUCUUUAACUUGACCACCUUAGGGGACUUCACCCUCAGCAGAAGCUCUGUAACCAUUUGCUGCCGCAAGGACUUUGUGACUGCCUUACAGGGUCAACCCUAGGCGCCCACUGUGUGCGAAGUACGAUGCCCAGGACACAGAGUGCCAAGCGGAGGUCACAAAGAAGUAGAAAAUGGUCACUGGAAUUAAAAUGCUUACAUUCCUGAAAUAAAUUCUUCGUUUGGUUGCAUGAAAUAGAAAGCACUCUAUGGAAGAAAGAAGAAUUAAAAUGAAAGCACAGGAAAGAGCAGAUGAAAAAGGCCCAUUUAAAAAACAAAACAAAAUAAGAAAAUGAAUAAAAGAAAUGGAGUCAGUGUGGCAGUAAAUUGUAUGGUUUAAAUUCUUCCAGAUGGAAGUAAUAAAAACACAGUGUUCAGGGACAGCUGUGAUGCAAGGGAAAAUGUUUUUGUUUUUGUUUUUGUUACCGUCUGUGAUGACUACUGUGUAUGUCAUUUUUCAAAUAACAUUGAAAGUUUUAAGUCCUUGAAUAACUUGGGAAAAUAUGCUACAAUUAAAAAUUUAUUUUGAUUGUUCUUAGAUUGAAAUAGAUUUGUAACUGGCUUUGGAGUCAGAUGAAUGGAAACCUGACCCUUGCUUUGAUCAUUUAAGAGUUAUGUGAUUCUUACUAAGAGUUUGCAGAUCUUUUUGGGUCUAGUUUUUCCUUUGUGAUACUGGAAUAAUUAUGGAUGUUUAAAUGAAAUAAUCUAUGAAAAGCACUUCUUACAAGACUCCUGGCACCUAA